RNAcentral lists this ribosomal RNA (443 nucleotides) under uncultured bacterium. RNAcentral describes it as "partial 16S ribosomal RNA". It matches the Rfam family "Bacterial small subunit ribosomal RNA", at positions 338 to 795 of the family's 1533-position model. The record is from RNAcentral.
CCUACGGGAGGCAGCAGUGGGGAAUAUUGGACAAUGGGGGGAACCCUGAUCCAGCGACGCCGCGUGAGUGAAGAAGUAUUUCGGUAUGUAAAGCUCUAUCAGCAGGGAAGAAAGAAAUGACGGUACCUGACUAAGAAGACCCGGCUAACUACGUGCCAGCAGCCGCGGUAAUACGUAGGGGGCAAGAGUUAUCCGGAUUGACGGGGUGUAAAGGGAGCGUAGACGGGGGUGCAAGGCUGAAGUGAAAGGCGGGGGCCCAACCCCUGGACAGUUUUGGGAAACGGAUGGCUGGAGUGCAGGAGAGGUAAGUGGAAUUCCUGGUGUAGCGGUGAAAUGCGUAGAUAUUAGGAGGAACACCAGUGGCGAAGGCGGCUUACUGGACUGUAACUGACGUUGAGGCUCGAAAGCGUGGGGAGCAAACAGGAUUAGAUACCCCAGUAGUC